RNAcentral lists this ribosomal RNA (253 nucleotides) under uncultured bacterium. RNAcentral's name for it is "partial 16S ribosomal RNA". It matches the Rfam family "Bacterial small subunit ribosomal RNA", at positions 524 to 776 of the family's 1533-position model. The record is from RNAcentral.
UACAGAGGUCUCGAGCGUUAGGCGGAAUCACUGGGCUUAAAGCGUGUGUAGGCGGGUUGGUAAGUACUUUGUGAAAUCCCACGGCUUAACCGUGGAACUGCUUGGUAUACUGCCAGUCUUGAGCCAGCUAGGGGCUACCGGAACAAAUGGUGGAGCGGUGAAAUGCGUAGAUAUCAUUUGGAACGCCAAUGGUGAAAACAGGUAGCUGGGGCUGUGCUGACGCUGAGACACGAAAGCCAGGGGAGCAAACGGG